Molecule: long non-coding RNA, 400 nt
Filed under: Pan troglodytes (chimpanzee)
Lineage: Eukaryota; Metazoa; Chordata; Mammalia; Primates; Hominidae
Description: long non-coding RNA NONPTRT005170
Source: RNAcentral
AGGAACUAGAAAAUGCCUGGGGGCAGGGGUGGGAAGGGACAGGAGAUCCGGGCAGGAGCUAGACCACAGAAUCCUGCUUGACAGAAAGAGCCAUGAACAACAGCUGGCCAGAAAACCGAAGGAAUAAAAUAAGUGUCCAGUGAAAAUGAAAAAAAAAGAAGUUAUUGGGUUCGAUGCUACACAAAGAAUGAGAACCAGAUCCACGCACACAAGCUCCCCACACACACAUCUGGCACCCUCUUACGGAUGCUGUCAUUGUGUGAGCGGUAAUGCUCAGCUUUCAAUGUGAGGUAUGUCGAAUGGUUUGUGGUUAUUUUAAGCAGUAGCAUUUUUUUUUUUUUUUGCCAGUUCAUAAAUUUCUUCUAUUGUCAAUUAAGUGACAAGCCAACAUAGAUUUCAG